RNAcentral lists this ribosomal RNA (465 nucleotides) under Vreelandella stevensii. Its description in RNAcentral is "partial 16S ribosomal RNA". It matches the Rfam family "Bacterial small subunit ribosomal RNA", at positions 338 to 795 of the family's 1533-position model. Lineage: Bacteria; Pseudomonadati; Pseudomonadota; Gammaproteobacteria; Oceanospirillales; Halomonadaceae. The record is from RNAcentral.
CCUACGGGUGGCUGCAGUGGGGAAUAUUGGACAAUGGGCGAAAGCCUGAUCCAGCCAUGCCGCGUGUGUGAAGAAGGCCUUCGGGUUGUAAAGCACUUUCAGUGGGGAAGAAAGCCUUGGGGCUAAUACCCUCGAGGAAGGACAUCACCCACAGAAGAAGCACCGGCUAACUCCGUGCCAGCAGCCGCGGUAAUACGGAGGGUGCGAGCGUUAAUCGGAAUUACUGGGCGUAAAGCGCGCGUAGGCGGUCUGAUAAGCCGGUUGUGAAAGCCCCGGGCUCAACCUGGGAACGGCAUCCGGAACUGUCAGGCUAGAGUGAAGGAGAGGAAGGUAGAAUUCCCGGUGUAGCGGUGAAAUGCGUAGAGAUCGGGAGGAAUACCAGUGGCGAAGGCGACCUUCUGGACUGACACUGACGCUGAGGUGCGAAAGCGUGGGUAGCAAACAGGAUUAGAUACCCGAGUAGUC